AGGCCAAUCAAACUUCGUGAUAGCUGGUUCUCUCCGAAAUAUAUUUAGGUAUAGCCUUGUGUUGUAGCAUAUAGGGGUAGAGCACUGAAUGGGCUAGGGCUGCUUACCGCGGUACCAAACCCUAUCAAACUAUGAAUACUAUAUGUGGAAUCACAGGAGUCAGGCGAUGGGUGAUAAAAUCCACCGUCGAGAGGGGAACAACCCAGACUAACAGCUAAGGUCCCUAAGUCACAUCUAAGUGGAAAACGAUGUGGAGUUACUGUGACAACCAGGAGGUUGGCUUAGAAGCAGCCAUCCUUUAAAGAAAGCGUAACAGCUCACUGGUCUAGUGAUUCUGCGCGGAAAAUAUAACGGGGCUAAGAUGUGCACCGAAGCUUUAGAUUCGAAUUUAUUCGAGUGGUAGGAGAGCGUUCUAUUCAGCGUUGAAGAUGUACCGGCAAGGAGCGUUGGAGCGGAUAGAAGUGAGCAUGCAGGCAUGAGUAGCGAUAAUUGAGGUGAGAAUCCUCAACGCCGAAAACCCAAGGUUUCCUACGCGAUGCUCGUCAUCGUAGGGUUAGUCGGGUCCUAAGUCGAGUCCGAAAGGGGUAGACGAUGGCAAAUUGAUUAAUAUUUCAAUACCAACAUACAAGCGCGAUGUGGGGACGCAUAGAGUUAAUCGAGCUCACUGAUGGAAUAGUGGGUCGAAGGACGUAGGCUGUAACUUAGGCAAAUCCGGGUUGCAAUAGGCCGAGAUCUUACAGGCUCUUGACACUCUUCGGAGGAGAUGGAGAAUCGAUGAUACUGUCGUGCCAAGAAAAGCCACUAAGUUUAUUAUAUGUUGCCCGUACCGUAAACCGACACAGGUGGGUGGGAUGAGUAUUCUAAGGCGCGUGGAAGAACCCUGGUUAAGGAACUCUGCAAACUAGCACCGUAUCUUCGGUAUAAGGUGUGCCUACUUUGGUAUAUGGACUUGCUCCAAAAAGCUAGAGAGGUUGCAACAAAGAGUCCCUCCCGACUGUUUACCAAAAACACAGCACUUUGCUAACACGUAAGUGGAUGUAUAAGGUGUGACGCCUGCCCGGUGCUCGAAGGUUAAUUGAUGAUGUCAGCGCAAGCGAAGCAUUUGAUCGAAGCCCGAGUAAACGGCGGCCGUAACUAUAACGGUCCUAAGGUAGCGAAAUUCCUUGUCGGUUAAAUACCGACCUGCAUGAAUGGCGUAACGAGAUGGGAGCUGUCUCAACCAGGGAUCCAGUGAAAUUGUAGUGGAGGUGAAAAUUCCUCCUACCCGCGGAAAGACGGAAAGACCCCGUGCACCUUUACUACAGCUUGACACUGUAGCUUGGAUAUUCAUGUGCAGGAUAGGUGGGAGGCUAUGAUGACUAGACGCAAGUAGAGUCGGAGCCAUCCUUGAGAUACCACCCUUGAAUAUUUGAGUUACUAACUGCGUACAAUUAUCUUGUAUCAGGACAAUGUCUGGUGGGUAGUUUGACUGGGGCGGUCGCCUCCUAAAAAGUAACGGAGGCUUACAAAGGUUAGUUCAAAGCGGUUGGAAAUCGCUUGUUGAGUAUAAUGGCAUAAACUAGCUUGACUGUGAGACAUACAAGUCGAACAGAGACGAAAGUCGGUCAUAGUGAUCCGGUGGUUCUGUGUGGAAGGGCCAUCGCUCAAAGGAUAAAAGGUACGCCGGGGAUAACAGGCUGAUCUCCCCCAAGAGCUCACAUCGACGGGGAGGUUUGGCACCUCGAUGUCGGCUCAUCGCAUCCUGGGGCUG
RNAcentral lists this ribosomal RNA (1750 nucleotides) under metagenome. RNAcentral's name for it is "bacterial LSU rRNA". It matches the Rfam family "Bacterial large subunit ribosomal RNA", at positions 826 to 2555 of the family's 2925-position model. The record is from RNAcentral.